Pelobates cultripes (western spadefoot toad) is the source of this 221-nucleotide non-coding RNA. Lineage: Eukaryota; Metazoa; Chordata; Amphibia; Anura; Pelobatidae. The record is from the annotation of a GenBank genome assembly.
CCAAUCAUUUAUACACUAUUGUGGGGUAUGGUUGCAUAGCCUGCCAGUCGUGUAUACAUAAGUACUGGUGUGAAGGGGUUAUUGGAAACAAAAAUGAAAUUUGUUUUGAGCAAAAAAGCUUUAAAAAAAUAAUUUACCAAAUAAUAAAGUGUGUAUGAUGUAUGUCUGGUGACUGUGACAGGGUGAGUAAAGAGGUACCAGUGGCAGGGAGAGUGUGACAG